AGGGCAAUGGCGGGGUGCUAAUACAUGCAAGUCGAGCGGACAGAUGGGAGCUUGCUCCCUGAUGUUAGCGGCGGACGGGUGAGUAACACGUGGGUAACCUGCCUGUAAGACUGGGAUAACUCCGGGAAACCGGGGCUAAUACCGGAUGCUUGUUUGAACCGCAUGGUUCAAGCAUAAAAGGUGGCUUCGGCUACCACUUACAGAUGGACCCGCGGCGCAUUAGCUAGUUGGUGAGGUAAUGGCUCACCAAGGCAACGAUGCGUAGCCGACCUGAGAGGGUGAUCGGCCACACUGGGACUGAGACACGGCCCAGACUCCUACGGGAGGCAGCAGUAGGGAAUCUUCCGCAAUGGACGAAAGUCUGACGGAGCAACGCCGCGUGAGUGAUGAAGGUUUUCGGAUCGUAAAGCUCUGUUGUUAGGGAAGAACAAGUACCGUUCGAAUAGGGCGGUACCUUGACGGUACCUAACCAGAAAGCCACGGCUAACUACGUGCCAGCAGCCGCGGUAAUACGUAGGUGGCAAGCGUUGUCCGGAAUUAUUGGGCGUAAAGGGCUCGCAGGCGGUUUCUUAAGUCUGAUGUGAAAGCCCCCGGCUCAACCCGGGGAGGGUCAUUGGAAACUGGGGGAACUUGAGUGCAGAAGAGGAGAGUGGAAAUUCCACGUGUAGCGGUGAAAUGCGUAGAGAUGUGGAGGAACACCAGUUGGCGAAAGCGACUCCUCUGGUCUGUAACUGACGCUGAGAGCGAAGCGUGGGGAGCGAACAGGAUUAGAUACCCUGGUAGUCCCACGCCGUAACGAUGAGUGCUAGUGGUUUAAGGGGUUUCCCGCCCCCUUAUGCUGCAGCUACGCAUAGCACUCCCGGCUGGGGGAGUACGUCGCAGGACUGGAAACUCAAGAAUGACUGAGCCGCACAGCGUUGGGCAUGUGUUAUUCGAGCACCGGAGACUUACAGGUCUGACAGUCUCG
RNAcentral lists this ribosomal RNA (967 nucleotides) under Bacillus sp. (in: firmicutes). Its description in RNAcentral is "bacterial SSU rRNA". It matches the Rfam family "Bacterial small subunit ribosomal RNA", at positions 26 to 992 of the family's 1533-position model. The record is from RNAcentral. Lineage: Bacteria; Bacillati; Bacillota; Bacilli; Caryophanales; Bacillaceae.